RNAcentral lists this unclassified non-coding RNA (385 nucleotides) under soil metagenome. RNAcentral describes it as "partial contains 5.8S ribosomal RNA, internal transcribed spacer 2, and large subunit ribosomal RNA". The stretch from base 1 to 120 matches the Rfam family "5.8S ribosomal RNA", at positions 35 to 154 of the family's 154-position model. The record is from RNAcentral.
GAUGAAGAACGUAGCGAAAAGCGAUAAGUAAUGUGAAUUUCAGAAUUCAGUGAAUCAUCGAAUCUUUGAACGCACCUUGCACCCUUUGGCAUUCCGAAGGGUAUGCUCGUUUGAGUGUCAUUGUUCUCUCACACUCCCAAUUGCUUUGGAUUGGGAGCGGUGGACUUGGGUGUUGCUGCUUGACUGAGGCUCACCUGAAAUAUGUUAGUGCACCUCUUGAUUGGACAUAGUACGGCGUGAUAAGUGUCUUCGCCGGCUCCUCGCAAAGAGGGUGGCCGAUCGGGAGCUCUGUUGCUUCAAACUGUCUUCGGACAAUCUUCUGGCGACUUGACCUCAAAUCGAGUAGGACUACCCGCUGAACUUAAGCAUAUCAAUAAGCGGAGGA